This is a long non-coding RNA of Spodoptera frugiperda (fall armyworm), 2804 nucleotides long. RefSeq lists it as uncharacterized. The transcript is spliced from 2 exons. Lineage: Eukaryota; Metazoa; Arthropoda; Insecta; Lepidoptera; Noctuidae. The record is from RefSeq and is a predicted model, not a curated record.
AUUAAAUAGUACCUAUCAGAAAUUGCUCAAUGAAGCUGCUUGUCUGGAGGAAGUGUCUACACAAGAGUGUGACCUACUCGUACUGUGUCACCACUCAUUCAAACAUGAAUAGAUGUCAGUGUUACGAGAUCGAGAGACAGGUAGCCAAUAAAGAGAACCGAGCCGUAAAGCAAUAAAGUGAUAAGACGACGACCCCACGAAACAAUAACAAUGUAAAUACCGUUUUAUAGUGUAAACAAAAAGUAUAAUAAAUGUGUUACGUAGGCAGCUACGUCAGGACGUACGUCACGGGCGACGUCACGAGCGGAAGUCCGCACUAGAUAUAUUUACUGUAGGCGUGCACCGCAGCCGCCGGGACGGGUUCAAUGUCGAGUCGCGACUAUCUAUCGGCCAUCAAUCACCGCUCGCCGCCGCCGCCACCACCCGGCACCCGCUACCAAAGGACGCGGCCGCGAUCCGCUGCUCCUCGGCCGCUCGACUCGAACUCAUCCGAUACAUUGUUGCUAAACAUCCGCGGCGCGGCUCUGAUUUACGCUCUCGACGCUCCGAUAACAUCGCACCGGUAUGCGCGUGAUAAUAGUUUGUUGUUACACCCGUAGUAAUAGUAAUCCACCUGUCUUCGAUUUGCAGAUAUGAAUCGAAUCGAUUGUCACGGUCGGUCGGGUGGUACAUUAUCAUUUUCAUUCAUAGAUUGAUACAAGUGUGUAAUUGGAUAUCGGAACACGUCGAUAUAGAUUGUGCGUGACCGGGUGAGUGCGGCGUGAUGCGGCGUGGUGCGGCGUGGUGCAGCGGCCCGCACCGGGACCAAGGCCGGCGCUGUUUACAAACUUCCGUCACGACUCACGAGCACUUGUCACUCGCGCCGCCAUUCCUCGGCCGACGCACACGUGUCUACGCAAAUAAUAGCGAGCCCUCACAGUUGACAUUGUCCCAGUUCGCGCGACUGCCCGCCCGUCUAGACUUGAGAUACGAUCACCGUCGAUACGCUCGUUGUUAACAUUUUGCAUUCGUUACUGUCUCAGCAGCACGCUGUAUCCUCUAUUAUUAGCCAUCGAAUCGCAAACAACUGUAAGAUACAUCACGUCAUAGAUAGUAUUCUUAAAUUUCGAAGUCAUGCACCCUUGUUGUAGUGGUGCCCUACGCGGGGUGAGAACGAGGGUGAAUGCAGUAGGGUGGCGGAGCUCCCUCGGCCCGUUACCCCCCGGUGCACAGUAGGCGCGUAGUAACUGCAAUAACGGAGCAGUGAAAGUGUCGCGGGGCGCUUCAACCGUCAAUGGGUGAAGACUUUACUCCCUUCACCCCGCCGUCUUGUGCUCAAACUUGUAGCUAAUAGUACGAUCUUCCUAGUGUCGGUCGCACACAUGUUUGUGUUCACAUAAACAAUGUUUAUGUUGAAAGUUUCUCGUGGAGCACGCGAACGAGCGGCGACCCGCGAGUAGCGACUGGCGACAUUAGUAAUGUUACUGGGCGAUUACAGAGUGCCAAGCACGAAUAACUAUCGCAUUCGUAAUGUAAACGUAUCGAGAUGACGAUACGUCAUGAGACGUUAACGGAGUGUGGCAGCACGAAGCCUAUUCUUUCAACUAUCGAGAGCUCGAAUCCAAUUCGAUAGUGACGUCAUGCUAAUGUAAACUAGAGAAGCAGCCAAGUGAACGAUUUGAAUGACUUGUUGAGCAUAAAGAUUUCGUCUGAAAACUAAAUUAAAUUUAUAUAUAUAUUUCAACCUUUGUGUACAAGUUUUAUGAAAUAAUAUUUAUUAAAUAAAUAUUAAUUAUGUGCAAAAAGUUCUUAAAGCGAGUUAAGAGAAAUAUAACGUGACAUUAUCUAUGAAAAAAAAUAAGUACUUAGUUUCAUAAAUUUAUAAUUUUUUUUAUGAUUUCCGAACGUCGUAUUUGACAUCACAUUUGUCAUGCCGGUUGUUUGUUUGUUUAUGUAAAAUGUAAAUAAGAUAAAAUUACAAUUUUAACAUGUUACAUUUAAAAUGAGGACGAUUCAACUCCAAUAUGAGCUAAUGGUGGAAUUUAUGCAAAAAUUGGAAUAUUUGUGGGACCAGUCCAAUAUUUCUGGGAGCAGUGGGCCUACUGUAUUCCUACCACACCACUCACUGUUCCUCACAAAGCCUACACUUCGCCAGCGCCUCCACCAACACCACCGAUCCUCCAUCCGAGGAAGAUAGCUGGAAUCCUCCACCAGUGAAAAAACCUAAAGCGAGUUUAAUUAAAAUGUGUAUAGAGAAUGACAAGAAUGCUAUGCUAAGGAGCAUGAGAAAAGUUAUUAUUUUUUAUUAGUUGAUUAUUUUUUAUAACUUACUGUUAAUUUUAUAUUUAUUUGAAUUUUUCUGUUUUUAUGUUAUUUUAAAAUAUUAUCAAAAUAUUGUUAAUGGCAUUGUAUUUAUAAUAAUUAUUCUAACUGUGUCAAUACUGUGAAUGUGGUGCAUGUCUAUAAAUUGGCAUAAGCACAUGAUCUUGUGUCUUCAUCUUGUUUUUCAUUAAUGUCUUAUAAUAAUAAAUAAAUAAAUUAUAUAUUAUUGGGAUUAAGAUUAGGAUAAAAUAGUUUUUAAGUUAGUUAAAUAAUAAUAAAUAAAAAAAUAAAAAUGUGUUUAUUGACAAAAGUUAGUACAAUAAGUUGCCGGGGCUUCCCAAAAAGUAAUCCGAAGAUACUUGUGUUGGGAUAAGCCUCGCUCUUCCUUGUUAUACAAUUGUUUCGCUAAUUAUAACUACGUUAUUAGUUAUAUAUGUAUAUACAUUUUAUUAACUAUAAAAAGAGGAUUUUGUACUAAAAAGUAAUAAAACACUUGAAAUAAC